GUUCGUUCAAGAAUGGAAAAGUGGCAGCAUCUCUGGUCCCUUCAUGGACUCCUGUGGAUAAAAGAGCAAGACGGAAACUUUCCUUUGUGACAAAUGAUGCUGAGAGCCAGACUAAGCUGGUUUGGGGUGAUAAAGCCAGAGAAAUUCACGACCACUGAACAAUGUGCUUCUUGAGCUGAUCAAAGGAUAGAGAGUCAGGAACUGAAGAACCAAGAAAAUUUAUGGGAUUUCCC
Eucalyptus grandis is the source of this 233-nucleotide long non-coding RNA. RefSeq lists it as uncharacterized. Lineage: Eukaryota; Viridiplantae; Streptophyta; Magnoliopsida; Myrtales; Myrtaceae. The transcript has 3 exons. The record is from RefSeq and is a predicted model, not a curated record.